UGGGGAAUUUUGCACAAUGGGGGAAACCCUGAUGCAGCGACGCCGCGUGAUUUAGAAGGCCUUCGGGUUGUAAAAAUCUUUUCUAUGGGAAGAAAAUGACAGUACCAUAGGAAUAAGGACCGGCUAAUACGUGCCAGCAGCCGCGGUAAUACGUAAGGUCCGAGCGUUGUCCGGAAUCAUUGGGCGUAAAGGGUACGUAGGCGGGUAAGCAAGUUAGAAGUGAAAUCCUAUAGCUCAACUAUAGUAAGCUUUUAAAACUGCUCAUCUUGAGGUAUGGAAGGGAAAGUGGAAUUCCUAGUGUAGCGGUGAAAUGCGCAGAUAUUAGGAGGAAUACCGGUGGCGAAGGCGACUUUCUGGCCAUAACCUGACGCUGAGGUACGAAAGCGUGGGUAGCAAACAGG
RNAcentral lists this ribosomal RNA (401 nucleotides) under bacterium. RNAcentral describes it as "partial 16S ribosomal RNA". It matches the Rfam family "Bacterial small subunit ribosomal RNA", at positions 355 to 776 of the family's 1533-position model. The record is from RNAcentral.